Molecule: ribosomal RNA, 468 nt
Filed under: uncultured bacterium
Lineage: Bacteria
Description: partial 16S ribosomal RNA
Rfam family: Bacterial small subunit ribosomal RNA
Source: RNAcentral
GACGAACGCUGGCGGCGUGCUUAACACAUGCAAGUCGAACGGAAAGGCCCUGCUUUUGUGGGGUGCUCGAGUGGCGAACGGGUGAGUAACACGUGAGUAACCUGCCCUUGACUUUGGGAUAACUUCAGGAAACUGGGGCUAAUACCGGAUAGGAGCUCCUGCUGCAUGGUGGGGGUUGGAAAGUUUCGGCGGUUGGGGAUGGACUCGCGGCUUAUCAGCUUGUUGGUGGGGUAGUGGCUUACCAAGGCUUUGACGGGUAGCCGGCAUGGGAGGGUGACCGGCCACAUUGGGACUGAGAUACGGCCCAGACUGCAACGGGGGGCAGCAGGGGGGAAUAUUGCACAAUGGGCGGAAGCCUGAUGCAGCAACGCCGCGUGCGGGAUGACGGCCUUCGGGUUGUAAACCGCUUUCGGCUGUGACGAAGCGUGAGUGACGGUAAUUGGUAAAGAAGCACCGGCUAACUACGUG